Molecule: long non-coding RNA, 305 nt
Filed under: Androctonus crassicauda
Lineage: Eukaryota; Metazoa; Arthropoda; Arachnida; Scorpiones; Buthidae
Source: RNAcentral
AGCAGAAAACGAAAGCAUACCGGCUCGGACGUCGCCCGGGUUAACAAGGUCCGCGUCUGCGAGUUAGGCAGAAGCUCACAUUCUGAAAGUUUACUAUGCAGUCUCCCUUGGCCACUGGUGGCAAAAGCAGCACCAACCCAAGUCUGCCUACUGCAAUACAUAUAACCACAGUAAGGAACAGGUCACCACAUCAGAGCCCAACCAGCCAAAGUAUUUCCCAGGCAACUCAGCCAGAGACCACCAAGGCUGGAAAACCACACCAAUGCAUGAAAUGGACAAAAGACAUGAAUGAAUUCAUCAUAUGU